AACUUGGAGACGCUGGCAAGGGCCCCGGGAAGAGUUUUCUUUUCUCCUUGACCGCUUAACCCCCUGAAAUCGGAUUGUCCGGAGCUAGGGGUCGAUGGCGGGUAGAGCUCGACACCUCUGUCGGGUCCGGUGCGUUCUUGACAGCCCUUGAAAAUCCAAGGGAAUGAAUAACUUUCACACCUGGUC
Molecule: ribosomal RNA, 186 nt
Filed under: Russula virescens
Lineage: Eukaryota; Fungi; Basidiomycota; Agaricomycetes; Russulales; Russulaceae
Description: partial 25S large subunit ribosomal RNA
Rfam family: Eukaryotic large subunit ribosomal RNA
Source: RNAcentral